AAGUGAGACAUAUCCGCUCCAACUUGACUUAUCACGCGCUCAAUCAACUGUAGGAUUCAUGAUAAGACCCUUAAAUAAAGGGUGCCAGAGCUACCAGUGCUGUUCAUUUGGGUAUCGGUCCCAAUUUCCCCGGCACCUGUGUGCAUUGCUACUGUGUGUUUCAGGCAUGAAGGUGUGAUAUAAGAAUGCACGGCUGUAUAAUUUAGGGCUUUGUGGUACUUUACUCGCUUCCUGGACCCUGCUUUCCUAAACACGCCCCCUAGCUCCGAUCUUACCAGGACAGGCGACCCAGAGGGCGCCGGCACUCAGUAGUUACUAUACCAGAGCCUGCUCCUCAGGUGUUGGGACAGGCAGGCCACCAGAGGCGCUGAGGCGCGCCAACGCCAGUGCGGGGCUGGCGGGCCCGUGGCUGCCGCCGAAUCCCGCCCACAGGUGACACAGCUUGAAACAAGAAGGGCCCUGAAGCUUGGCCCUCCUUCCCUACUUUCCAUGGCUUUUAUCCUCUUUCUGCAUCUUUCUCUCCGCGACGGGCGUCCCUACGCGACAAACACCACUGGACAGUUCGGACCAGAGGCGAGCCGGGGAUGAGCCUGAGGUGGCGGAGGCCGCCCGCGGACAGCAAGCUCGGCAGGCGGUGGGGGUGCGGACAGCCGCGGUCUCCGCGGGUCCCGGGACCGGAAGUGCGCCGCGUCGCCAUGGCUACGGGCGCCAGCGCUCCGCCCCUACGCCUGCGGUUCCCAUGGCAGCUCCAUUGUAUUCCUGGCGAGGAGCGCCAAAAGCGGACCUCUUACCUUUCCGCGUUGUGGCGCCCGGAACGAGGUCGGCGGAGGCCGGGACGCUACGUGGCCCGCGGUAGCGGACCCGCCGGGCAGAAGGAGACCGAAGCCCACUUCCGGGGCGGGGCUGCUCCACCGCAGCCAGGAGAAAGAUGCAAGCCAAUCCCAUCCGCAUCCCAACAGUUAGCAAUGACACCGACUGGGCCUUCUGCUUCAACCUGUCACGGCAAACCAGGACUCCAGAAGACCAGCAAACAGACUACCCAAGCAAACAGGGAGCUGAUUCGAUGUGUCAUCUUCUCCCGGAUCAUUUUUGGAGAAGAACACUGGAAAUGGGCACAGGCUUUGACCAAAUUGGCUUAUGGCUACCUAACACUGAGAGGCCUCCCAGCUCAAGCCAAGAAACAUGCUGAAUCCGCCAAGAAUACACUCUUGAUGUGGAAGGGAAAAACAACCUCAAACAAGGAGAAAAAGGAAAUCCUAGAAGCUCUGGUCAUGGUCCACUACACUCUAGGGGUGGCCUGGUUCCUACAGAACCGUGGCAGAGAGGCCUAUUUCAACCUGCAGAAGGCAGACAGAAACAUGAAGGAGCUGAAAGAACUGAAUAAGGGAGAUGUUUGUGAAUUCCAGGUCUCAGAGAAAGACCUAACAAUUGCAUUGGGCAGAGCCUCCUUGGGUAUCCGCAGGUUGAACCUAGCUCUGGCAUAUUUUGAAAAGGCAGUUGGCAGUGUUAUCGCUGCCAAGGGUGAUGGAACAUCAGAUCUGAUCAGUCUGUAUGAGGAGAUUGCUCAGAUAGAGCAGCUGAGGAGGAACCACAAGCAGGCCAUCCAGUACUUGAAGCAGGCCUAUUCUAUCAGUGUUUCUUCAUUCACUGAAAUCAGCCGCCAAACUGCAGAGGUGGGCGCAUUAUUAGCCAAAGCUUAUGCCAUGUCUGGAGAGCCCCAGCACAGUGAAGCUGUUGAGGUAUAUUUCAUAAAAAGUAUCAGUGCCUAUCAAGCAACACUGGGCACAAAGAAUUGUGAAACAUUAACCACCAUUGAAGAAUUUUGUAAAUGGCUUACCCAAACUGGGAAAAAACAGGAGGCUUACAGACUGCUAAAGGCUUCACUGAAGUCCCAGGUCAUCAGCUAUGGUGACUGUAGUGAAAAAGUGGCAGAAACUUUUUAUAAUAUGGGCAGGAUCUGCUUUGCCAAAGGAGAGCUCAGAAAGGCAACUCACCUGCUAAGGAAGUGUCUGAUGAUUCAAAUCCUUAUAUAUGGAAAUGAUCAUGAUAAAAGCAGAGAGACAAAAAGCCUUCUUGCCCUAUUACAGAGGGCAAGUAAGAGCUCACCCAGAUGGAAAAGAGAAGCCACUCCAGGCAGAAGCAACUCUGUAUGCAAAGGCACGGAGGCAUGACAGAGGGCCGCGUGUGGAAGGAGUGGAAUUGAACUCAUGACCUCAGGCCUGCCAGGUCUUCUGUUAUGAGUAAAGAGAAAACUUAUACAAGACAGUCAACAAUAAAGGCAACACUGUUGACAAUAAAAAUUACAGACUAUGAAAUACAUUAACAUGGGCAGUAGUGGCAGAGCAAAAGCAGAAGAGUACUAAGGACUCUGGGGGGAAAGUACGUUUAGCAGCAACAUUACAGGUAAAAAAGCCAAGAACCACUGGAUAACCCAGAUCCUGACCCGUAAGUGGAGGUGGGGGUCUUUUAGACAUGUUUGUCUUGUUUGCUUUUUUGAGACAAGAUCUUGUUAUGUAGUUCAGGCUGAUCUUGAAAUUUUGAGUUUGUUGCUUU
RNA transcript from Chinchilla lanigera (long-tailed chinchilla), 2553 nucleotides. It is a transcript of the gene named tetratricopeptide repeat domain 23-like, with no coding region annotated. The record is from RefSeq and is a predicted model, not a curated record. The transcript is spliced from 14 exons. Lineage: Eukaryota; Metazoa; Chordata; Mammalia; Rodentia; Chinchillidae.